GGCGAGCCUCACAAACGUUAUUCGGAAUUACUGGGCUUAAAGGGUGCGUAGGCGGCGUAGAAAGUUGGGUGUGAAAUCCCUCAGCUUAACUGAGGAAGGGCGCCCAAAACUACUAUGCUCGAGGGAGAUAGAGGAGUGCGGAACUUAGGGUGGAGCGGUGAAAUGCGUUGAUAUCCUAGGGAACACCGGUGGCGAAAGCGGCACUCUGGAUCUCUUCUGACGCUGAGGCACGAAAGCUAGGGUAGCAAACGGG
Molecule: ribosomal RNA, 253 nt
Filed under: uncultured bacterium
Lineage: Bacteria
Description: partial 16S ribosomal RNA
Rfam family: Bacterial small subunit ribosomal RNA
Source: RNAcentral